UGGGGAAUAUUGGACAAUGGGCGCAAGCCUGAUCCAGCCAUGCCGCGUGGGUGAAGAAGGCCUUCGGGUUGUAAAGCCCUUUUGUUGGGAAAGAAAAGCAGUCGGUUAAUACCCGAUUGUUCUGACGGUACCCAAAGAAUAAGCACCGGCUAACUUCGUGCCAGCAGCCGCGGUAAUACGAAGGGUGCAAGCGUUACUCGGAAUUACUGGGCGUAAAGCGUGCGANGGUGGUGGUUUAAGUCUGUUGUGACAGCCCUGGCCUCAACCUGGGAAUUGCAGUGGAUACUGGGUCACUAGAGUGUGGAAAAGGGUGGCGGAAUUCCCGGGGUAGCAGUGAAUUGCUUAAAGAUCGGAAGGAACAUCCGUGGCGAAGGGGGUUACCUGGACCUACACUGACCCUGAGGCACGAAGGCGUGGGGAGCAAACAGGAUUAGAUACCCUGGUAGUCCACGCCCUAAAUGAUGCGAACUGGAUGUUGGGUGAAUUUGGCACGCAGUAUCGAAGCUAACGCGUUAAAGUUCGCCGCCUGGGGGAGUACGGUCCCAGAAUUGAA
This 553-nucleotide ribosomal RNA is filed under the name uncultured bacterium. RNAcentral describes it as "bacterial SSU rRNA". It matches the Rfam family "Bacterial small subunit ribosomal RNA", at positions 355 to 898 of the family's 1533-position model. The record is from RNAcentral.